RNAcentral lists this long non-coding RNA (1001 nucleotides) under Hordeum vulgare. RNAcentral describes it as "long non-coding RNA (HVUL_LNC006889)". The record is from RNAcentral. Lineage: Eukaryota; Viridiplantae; Streptophyta; Magnoliopsida; Poales; Poaceae.
CUAGGGUUUUACCUCGUCUCACAACUUACGCCGCCAUCGUAGUCUACCUCAUCUCGAAUGCCGGCGUGCACCGACGUGCGAGAGAGCAGGUCUCCGGAACCGUUCGUCUUUGCGAUCCUGCGUCGGAAGAGAACGAAUUAGGUUUUUGGGAAGCGCUCUGCGCGACUGCUCAAAUUCGUCAUCACGGGUCGUCUACCAUCCAAGUCGGACGGUGCUACUCAUCUUCGUCUUCAUCGCCAUCAACAAAAGAUCAUCGUCAACAUCGCCAUCAACACGGUUGUUCCUGUAGCAGCUAACGAACAGUACGUUACUCGUAAUCUGUUAAUGCUUCUCGUUGUAGUUGCUAUUUCGUGUGCGGUGAUGAUCUACAUGUUUGGUUGCUCUUCUAAAUUGCUAGAGUAUUGUAUGCUAUUAUCUGUUCUAGUCAUGAAUUAUUUAUUGAAAUUAAUCAUGAACUUGCCUAUUCUUUCAACAAUUUUCUCCAGGUUUGCCUUCAUUAACCGAACGGUGUAAGGUUUUUUGUCAGAUUUUCCCUAUCAACUAGAUCAACUCUCUCCUUCUAAUUAAGGUGAGUGCAUGCAGUGGCGUAGCUAGGGGGGGUCCGUGUGGUCCAUGGACCACCAUAAAAUUUAUCUACAGCCUAUAUAUUAUAACAAAAGUGAGUAAAAUUUAAUAUGGAUAAUUAAAUACAAAUGAAAAUUUUACUACUGGACUAUUCUGGAUUAUUGAGCUGGUUCCGUUACUGAGUUCAUGAACCCUGCCUUCCAACGUGGUUCGACAUGGAAAAAAGCUUGCAAAGAGCAACUCGAUUUGAACCCUACAACAUUAUGCAAAGGUGAAAAAAGAGAGAGAGACGAAGGACGUGCUACGUACGAUUUUGUUCACCUUCCUGUCGUCUGAUGUAUGGUGGCCGUUGCUUUCGCAAUGCCCACAUGAUCCACCAAUGCACAUGCACGCGGGUGGCCGCUAGUGGCCCAUCCCCGUCGCAUAAACCACGCAAC